GGUAGGGUGGCUUAGUGUUAAGUGGUGGAUUGUAGUCCCAUAGACAGAGGUUAAAUUCCUCUUCCUAUCA
This 70-nucleotide transfer RNA is filed under the name Solea ovata (ovate sole). Its description in RNAcentral is "tRNA-Tyr". It matches the Rfam family "tRNA". Rfam says of the family: Transfer RNA (tRNA) molecules are approximately 80 nucleotides in length. The record is from RNAcentral. Lineage: Eukaryota; Metazoa; Chordata; Actinopteri; Pleuronectiformes; Soleidae.